RNAcentral lists this unclassified non-coding RNA (427 nucleotides) under Hevea brasiliensis (rubber tree). The record is from RNAcentral. Lineage: Eukaryota; Viridiplantae; Streptophyta; Magnoliopsida; Malpighiales; Euphorbiaceae.
GAUAUCGAUUCUGCUCCUUCGCUUGCAGUUCUUGGUACAAUUUAGCAAGAGCCUUUAAACUAUUUAUCUGUUCAUCCCAAGCAUCAAGACCAGAUAUGAGCAGAAACACUUUGGUGUCCUUUAGUGAACUAAUACCGACCUCUAUCUCGGCGUCAGUGCCUAAAACAAGGGGUGGCUUCCCAUCGGGCCCGACGUCAAACAAGUCGAUGAGGAUGGUCGUAAGGUCUUGGUAUUUGUUGAAACGAUCAUUAAGCCCCUUGUAUAACUCAAUUUCACUUUUCCAAUGAGAAAAUUCCAAUUCCAGGCCUUUCUGCAUGCUACUGACUUUAGAAGCCAGCAUUCUCAGUUGCAAUGCCAUUUUUGCCAUGGUGUGCUCAUCCCUCAACCCAAGGGCAGCAAUAUGAGAGCCGCAGGUCACAACACUAUA